This 492-nucleotide ribosomal RNA is filed under the name uncultured bacterium. RNAcentral describes it as "partial 16S ribosomal RNA". It matches the Rfam family "Bacterial small subunit ribosomal RNA", at positions 29 to 507 of the family's 1533-position model. The record is from RNAcentral.
AGUGAACGCUGGCGGUAGGCCUAACACAUGCAAGUCGAACGGCAGCACAGUAAGAGCUUGCUCUUACGGGUGGCGAGUGGCGGACGGGUGAGGAAUACAUCGGAAUCUACUUUUUCGUGGGGGAUAACGUAGGGAAACUUACGCUAAUACCGCAUACGACCUACGGGUGAAAGCAGGGGAUCUUCGGACCUUGCGCGAGUGAAUGAGCCGAUGUCAGAUUAGCUAGUUGGCGGGGUAAAGGCCCACCAAGGCGACGAUCCGUAGCUGGUCUGAGAGGAUGAUCAGCCACACUGGAACUGAGACACGGUCCAGACUCCUACGGGAGGCAGCAGUGGGGAAUAUUGGACAAUGGGCGCAAGCCUGAUCCAGCCAUACCGCGUGGGUGAAGAAGGCCUUCGGGUUGUAAAGCCCUUUUGUUGGGAAAGAAAAGCAGCAGGUUAAUACCCCGCUGUUCUGACGGUACCCAAAGAAUAAGCACCGGCUAACUUCGUG